Molecule: ribosomal RNA, 253 nt
Filed under: uncultured bacterium
Lineage: Bacteria
Description: partial 16S ribosomal RNA
Rfam family: Bacterial small subunit ribosomal RNA
Source: RNAcentral
UACGGGGGGGGCAAGCGUUGUUCGGAAUUACUGGGCGUAAAGGGCUCGUAGGUGGCCAACUAGGUCAGACGUGAAAUCCCUCGGCUUAACCGGGGAACUGCGUCUGAUACUGGAUGGCUUGAGUUCGGGAGAGGGAUGCGGAAUUCCAGGUGUAGCGGUGAAAUGCGUAGAUAUCUGGAGGAACACCGGUGGCGAAGGCGGCAUCCUGGACCGACACUGACACUGAGGAGCGAAAGCCAGGGGAGCAAACGGG